UACAGAGGUCCCAAGCGUUGUUCGGAUUUACUGGGCGUAAAGGGUGCGUAGGUGGCGGGGUAAGUCUGGUGUGAAAGCUCCGAGCUCAACUCGGAAAAGCAUUGGAAACUAUCCCGCUUGAGGGUCGGAGGGGAGAUUGGAAUUCUCGGUGUAGCAGUGAAAUGCGUAGAUAUCGAGAGGAACACCAGUGGCGAAGGCGAGUCUCUGGACGACUCCUGACACUGAGGCACGAAAGCUAGGGGAGCAAACAGG
This 252-nucleotide ribosomal RNA is filed under the name uncultured bacterium. RNAcentral describes it as "partial 16S ribosomal RNA". It matches the Rfam family "Bacterial small subunit ribosomal RNA", at positions 524 to 776 of the family's 1533-position model. The record is from RNAcentral.